GGGGAAGGGUAGCUUGCUACCUGACCUAGCGGCGGACGGGUGAGUAAUGCUUAGGAAUCUGCCUAUUAGUGGGGGACAACAUUCCGAAAGGAAUGCUAAUACCGCAUACGCCCUACGGGGGAAAGCAGGGGAUCUUCGGACCUUGCGCUAAUAGAUGAGCCUAAGUCAGAUUAGCUAGUUGGUGGGGUAAAGGCCUACCAAGGCGACGAUCUGUAGCGGGUCUGAGAGGAUGAUCCGCCACACUGGGACUGAGACACGGCCCAGACUCCUACGGGAGGCAGCAGUGGGGAAUAUUGGACAAUGGGCGAAAGCCUGAUCCAGCCAUGCCGCGUGUGUGAAGAAGGCCUUUUGGUUGUAAAGCACUUUAAGCGAGGAGGAGGCUACUGAGAUUAAUACUCUUGGAUAGUGGACGUUACUCGCAGAAUAAGCACCGGCUAACUCUGUGCCAGCAGCCGCGGUAAUACAGAGGGUGCUAGCGUUAAUCCGGAUUUACUGGGCGU
This 500-nucleotide ribosomal RNA is filed under the name uncultured bacterium. RNAcentral's name for it is "bacterial SSU rRNA". It matches the Rfam family "Bacterial small subunit ribosomal RNA", at positions 68 to 561 of the family's 1533-position model. The record is from RNAcentral.